GGGGUGUGGAAAUAUUUGUUGUGGGCACUUGUCCCUGGGCAAGUAAAACUGUAAAUUUCACUUGUCCGGAAAAAAAGUUACUUGCCCUGAUGGUCCCAUAACUAUUGAAGUAUUUCAUUGUUAGCUAACAAUUCUUAGCACUGUUUUGCAUCACACAUAAGCAAAUGAAAUCCAUUUGUUAAAAUGUGUAAACAUUUAGGAAGAAGUUAACAUCUAUGGGACAGAAACUUUACAGCAAACCAACCAAUGAAAUGACAUGCAAAGGUCAUUUUUGCAGAAUUUUUUGAAUAAGAAUUGUAGCCAGUAUGUACAUAUAAUGAUAUACUAAUUUAAAAGACAGUGAGUGAAGAAAUGAAAAUUAAAUAAUGGAUAAACUAUUGAUUUUUUGGUGUUUCUUUCAACUGACACUUGUUUUUUUGUUUGUUUAUAAUUGUCUUAAUGGGCAAUUAAAGCACCCCUUCUAUCUACCACUCUGACAAAAAUAAUGUUGACCUUUGAUCUAUAAAUAUAAAGACAAAAACAUUUUUUUUCCCUGAAUUUCCAUCCUAGAUAGCCAGGUGCAAUCUGAUAGUGAUACAUUGUAGUCACGAUGUCCUAAAUUCUCGCUUCCGUAUUUUUUUUAAUACUCCUUUUCCUCCAUUUGCUUUUUCAUAUUUUUACUCUACUCAUUACUCUUUUUGUCUUGCUUGUCCACUUUUUUCUUAAGAAUUUAUCAACGAUACCAAGGAUUUGUAUACUAUACAAAUCCUUGACGAUACAAAAUUAUAUAAAAUGACAUUUCCGGUCAUGAUGGAUAAAACCUAAUCGACGAUCCCGGGUCAAAGGACAAAACCAAUGCAAUGUUAUGCGACUCGGGUUCGCAUACUUAUUUUUAUUUAUUUUAGUAAUCAAUCUAUCUCCGGUAUUAUGUAAUAUUUAUCGUCAUGAACAUUGUUUUUACUCGCUGACCAUUGAUUUAUUUUACAUGAAUUAAACAUCUUUAUACAUUUUGAAUUUAUUCUAUGUUUUUGUUGGAUUUGAACUUUGUCUUUUAUAAUUUUUUACUUGUCCACGGGCAACCCAGACAAAAAUAAUUACUUGUCCGGUUGUUUAAAUGUACGAGUCGGGCGAGUCGGGCAUAGCAUUUCCACAC
This 1132-nucleotide long non-coding RNA is filed under the name Mytilus galloprovincialis (Mediterranean mussel). The record is from RNAcentral. Lineage: Eukaryota; Metazoa; Mollusca; Bivalvia; Mytilida; Mytilidae.